UAGCCAUGGUGAGGACAAGAUCUUUGAAGAUCCUUGAACCUAUCUCAAGCUCCAUAUAAUGUCCCAUCCUCCUCCUGAAAGAAAUUAGAUAUCUUCCUCUUGACUUC
Beta vulgaris subsp. vulgaris (sugar beet) is the source of this 107-nucleotide non-coding RNA. Lineage: Eukaryota; Viridiplantae; Streptophyta; Magnoliopsida; Caryophyllales; Amaranthaceae. The record is from Rfam.